RNAcentral lists this ribosomal RNA (180 nucleotides) under uncultured Glomeromycotina. RNAcentral describes it as "partial small subunit ribosomal RNA". Lineage: Eukaryota; Fungi; Glomeromycota. The record is from RNAcentral.
GGCCCAGCUGAGCGGUCGGCCGAAAGGUCUGUACUGCUCUGGCCGGGCCUUUCCUUCUGGAGAGCCAGCAUGUUCUUUACUGAGUGUGCUGGGGAUCCAGGACUUUUACUUUGAAAAAAUUAGAGUGUUUAUGGCAGGCCGGAGUGCUUGAAUACAUUAGCAUGGAAUAAUGGAAUAGGA